Non-coding RNA from Oryza glaberrima (African rice), 204 nucleotides. Lineage: Eukaryota; Viridiplantae; Streptophyta; Magnoliopsida; Poales; Poaceae. The record is from Rfam.
AUAUAAUGCAACCAUGAGUUUCCGUGCCUAACUUUGAUUGUCCAUUUUAUUUGAAAUUUUUUUAUAAUUAGUAUUUUUAUUGUUAUGAGAUGAUAAAAUAUGAAUAGGACUUUAUGCGUGACUUAUGUUUCAAAAAAAUUCAAAUCAUUUUCAAAUAAGACUGACGAUCAAAAUUGUACAUGGAAAAUCAUGGCUGCACUUAAA